Non-coding RNA from Bos taurus (domestic cattle), 72 nucleotides. Lineage: Eukaryota; Metazoa; Chordata; Mammalia; Artiodactyla; Bovidae. The record is from Rfam.
UCCCUGGUGGCUCAGAUGGUAAAGCGUCUGCGUGCAAUGCGGGAGACCUGGGUUCAAUUCCUGGGUUGGGAA